UACGUAGGGCGCGAGCGUUGUCCGGAAUUAUUGGGCGUAAAGAGCUCGUAGGUGGCUUGUUGCGUCUGCCGUGAAAGCCCGUGGCUUAACUACGGGUCUGCGGUGGAUACGGGCAGGCUAGAGGCUGGUAGGGGCAAGCGGAAUUCCUGGUGUAGCGGUGAAAUGCGCAGAUAUCAGGAGGAACACCUAUAGCGAAGGCAGCUUGCUGGGACGUUACUGACGCUAAGGCGCGAAAGCGUGGGGAGCGAACAGG
RNAcentral lists this ribosomal RNA (253 nucleotides) under uncultured bacterium. RNAcentral describes it as "partial 16S ribosomal RNA". It matches the Rfam family "Bacterial small subunit ribosomal RNA", at positions 524 to 776 of the family's 1533-position model. The record is from RNAcentral.